RNAcentral lists this ribosomal RNA (520 nucleotides) under uncultured bacterium. Its description in RNAcentral is "bacterial SSU rRNA". It matches the Rfam family "Bacterial small subunit ribosomal RNA", at positions 992 to 1509 of the family's 1533-position model. The record is from RNAcentral.
GGUAAGCCUCAGAGAUGAGGUCCCCUCUUCGGAGGCCGCUGCAGAGGUGCUGCAUGGCUGUCGUCAGCUCGUGUCGUGAGAUGUUGGGUUAAGUCCCGCAACGAGCGCAACCCUUGCCCAUAGUUGCUAACGGGUAAUGCCGAGAACUCUAUGGGGACUGCCGGUGAUAAACCGGAGGAAGGUGGGGAUGACGUCAAGUCCUCAUGGCCUUUAUGUCCAGGGCUACACACGUGCUACAAUGGACGGUACAAAGAGUCGCGAUGCCGCAAGGCGGAGCUAAUCUCAAAAAACCGUUCUCAGUUCGGAUUGCACUCUGCAACUCGAGUGCAUGAAGCUGGAAUCGCUAGUAAUCGCGGAUCAGCACGCCGCGGUGAAUACGUUCCCGGGCCUUGUACACACCGCCCGUCACAUCACGAAAGUCGGUUGCACUAGAAGUCGGUGGGCUAACCCGCAAGGGAGGCAGCCGCCUAAAGUGUGAUCGGUAAUUGGGGUGAAGUCGUAACAAGGUAGGCGUAGAUGA